This 253-nucleotide ribosomal RNA is filed under the name uncultured bacterium. Its description in RNAcentral is "partial 16S ribosomal RNA". It matches the Rfam family "Bacterial small subunit ribosomal RNA", at positions 524 to 776 of the family's 1533-position model. The record is from RNAcentral.
UACGGAGGGUGCAAGCGUUAAUCGGAAUUACUGGGCGUAAAGCGCACGUAGGUGGUUUGUUAAGCUAGAUGUGAAAGCCCCGGGCUCAACCUGGGAGGUGCAUCCGAUACUGGGUAGCUAGAGUGUAGUAGAGGGAGGUGGAAUUUCCGGUGUAGCGGUGAAAUGCGUAGAGAUCGGAAGGAACACCAGUGGCGAAGGCGGCCUCCUGGACUAACACUGACGCUGAGGUACGAAAGCGUGGGGAUCAAACAGG